RNAcentral lists this ribosomal RNA (2933 nucleotides) under Candidatus Nanohalococcus occultus. RNAcentral describes it as "Candidatus Nanohaloarchaeota archaeon SVXNc 23S ribosomal RNA". It matches the Rfam family "Archaeal large subunit ribosomal RNA". The record is from RNAcentral. Lineage: Archaea; Nanobdellati; Candidatus Nanohalarchaeota.
GUCAAGCCGGUUAGCGGAUGGCUCGGCUCGAGAAGCCGACGAAGGACGUGGCAAGCUGCGAUAUGCUUGGGCGAGACGCAUGCAGUCAUUGAACCCAAGAUCUCCUAAUGCGACUUCGCAACACUUUUCGAAGUGUUACGCAACAAUGCGAGGCAACGCGGUGAAUUGAAACAUCUUAGUAACCGCAGGAAAAGAAACCAACAGGGAUGUCCUUAUUAGAGGCGAUCGAAAAGGACGUAGCGCAAACUGAACACGAUACCGAGAGGUAACGUGGAUGUGGUUUGGGCGCCGUUGGAACCUAGCUGGAUAGUUGAAGUCUGCUGGAAAGCAGCACCAUAGAGGGUGAUAGUCCCUUAAACCAUUUCAGCAACGUUCCUGGCGUUCCGAGAGUAGCAUGGAUUGGAAAUUCUGUGUGAAGAUGGGAGGCAUAACUCUUCCAACGCUAAAUACUUCUCGAGUCCGAUAGCGUACUAAGUACCGUGAGGGAAAGCUGAAAAGCAUCGUUCGAAGCGAUUUGCAAAGAGCCUGAAACUAUCCGGUCAUAGGCUAGAAGUGGCGCGGAAGCGUCGAAGCCUUUCAACGAACCCUGCGAGAGCAGUUAGUAGGUCGAGGUGGAUGCAGUGUCACUUCAUCCGUUUUGAAAAACGGGGCAGGGAGUGUGUCACCGUGGCAAGACUAAGCACUUUUCGGUGUGGAGUCAUAGCGAAAGCAAGAAGCCCGCAGCAGUUUACUGUGAGGGGCCGCGUGUUAACUCGCGUGAAGUCACCGUGACACGAUCCGAAACCGGUCGAUCCUGGCCUGACCAGAGUGAAGCGAAGCGAAAGCUUCGUGGAGGCUCGAACCGUUGCUGCGAUACAAGCGCUCGGAUGAGUUGGGUCAAGGGGUGAAAUGUCAAUCGAGAUCGGUGAUGGCUGGUUCCUCUCGAAAUGAAUCGAAGUUCAGCCUCGGCUGAGGUUGUCUUCAAGGUAAAGCUACCGAUUCUGGCAGCUUAGGCUCGCGCCUAAGCCCGGAGUCGAACUCUGAACUUGAAGACGCCAUAGAAGCCGGGAGUGAGGGGCACUGCGUAAGGUAGUGUCCCUAGAGGGAAACAACCCAGAGUAUGGUUAAGGCCCCUAAUUCUUGACUAAGUGUCUGUUGAAGGGAGUCCCGGUUCUCAGACAGCGGGGAGGUUAGCUUAGAAGCAGCUACCCUUUAAAGAUAGCGUAACAGCUCACCCGUUGAGAACUGGGGCACCUAAAAUGGACGGGGCUCAAGUCAAGAGCCGAGACCAUACCAUUGUAAUUUUUACACAUGGAUAGAGAGGCGAUCCGCGCCGGACAGAAGCAAGGACGUGAGUUCUUGUGGACCGCGUGGAUAUGACAAUCCUGCCGGCAGUACCAUCAUUAACAGAGGUGUGAAUCCUCUGCGCUUGAAGGGUAAGGGUUCCUCAGCAAUGAUUAUCAGCUGAGGGUUAGUCGGUCCUAAUUCCACUCCCAACUGGACGUGGAAGAAUAGGGAAACAGGUUAAUAUUCCUGUACCUAACUACAACUACUGACGUUUCGAGACAGUGCUUGCUGCGCCAUCGCGCAGUCCAAGCAAGUAAUUCGUACGAGCGUAACGCAUCGACUACGAGAACUUGUUAUGGGCCUGGGAAUAAUCCCGGGUCAGCAUGCGUCUUGGAACCCUUGAAAAAGUGUAGAAGACCGUACCCAGAACCAGCACAGGUACCCUGGCUUUGUAGGCCAAAGCGUUCGGGUAGAACGCAACUCAGGGAAUUCGGCAAGUUAGCCCCGUACGUUCGCAAGAUGGGGUGCCUAUCGUCUUGAUACGAUAGGUCUCAGUGACUAGGGAAGCUCGACUGUUUACUAAAAACAUAGCUGACUGCCAUUCCGAAAGGAUUUGUAUAGUCAGCGACUCUUGCCCAGUGCCAGCACCUGAACACUCCGUACAAGGAGACGAAGGGCUGGUAAACGGCGGCGGUAACUAUGACCGUCUUAAGGUAGCGUAGUCCCUUGCCAAUUAAUUAUUGGCCCGCAUCAAUAGAGUAACGAGGUUUCCACUGUCCCGAGUUGUGGCCCGGUGAACCCGCCGUACCGGCGCACAGGCCGGUGACUCCCGGUGGGAAGCGAAGACCCUUUGAACCUUUACUGCAGCCUGUUGUUGCUGCGGGGGUCCAAGUGUGAAGCGUAGGUAGGAGACGUUACAGAGACGCGGCCGCUAGGUCGUCGCCCAGUCAACCAUUGGACACUACCCUCUUGGAACCCUGCGGCUUACGUCUACGGACGGACAGCAGCAGUUGGGCAGUUUAACUGGGGCGGUAUCCAUAUGAUAAUCAAUCAUAUGGGUCCAAAGGUAGGCUCAACCCGUUCAGAAAUCGGGUGUAGAGUACAAGGACAAAAGCCUGCUUGACUGGACUCUCAACAGUACGGAGUCCAGGCGCGAAAGCGUGGCCUAGCGAACCUCUGAGUGUCAAGUUUAUGAGACCCAGGUAUGACAGAAAAGGUACUCAAGGGAUAACUGGAUUGUCUGAGGCGCGAGCUCACAUCGACCCUCAGGCUUGUUACUUCGAUGUCGGCUCUCCGUAUCCUGGCCGUGCAACAGCGGCCAAGGGUGGGGGUGUUCACCCAUUAAAACGGAUCGUGAGCUGGGUUUAGAUCGGCGUGAGCCAGAUCGGUUGCUAUCUGCCGGGAGCGUUCUGACGGUUUGAGAGGAAAUUUCGGACAGUACGAAAGGAACCCCGAAAUGAGGCCUCUGGUGUAUCUGUUAUCCGAGAGGGUAUUGCAGAGUAGCUACGCCUCACAGACGUAAGAGCUGAAAGCAUCUAAGCUCGAAAGUCUCCUUUAAAAGAAACCGUCUCCGCUCUCAGUAGAAGACGAGGUUGAUAGAGUGGCAGUGUAAGAUUCAAGGCAACGAGAAUUUCAGCUGACCACUACUAAUCGCGGGUUCCAGUCCA